This 209-nucleotide ribosomal RNA is filed under the name Klebsiella pneumoniae. Its description in RNAcentral is "partial 23S ribosomal RNA". It matches the Rfam family "Bacterial large subunit ribosomal RNA", at positions 2734 to 2925 of the family's 2925-position model. Lineage: Bacteria; Pseudomonadati; Pseudomonadota; Gammaproteobacteria; Enterobacterales; Enterobacteriaceae. The record is from RNAcentral.
GGCACUGCCCGGUAGCUAAAUGCGGAAGAGAUAAGUGCUGAAAGCAUCUAAGCACGAAACUUGCCCCGAGAUGAGUUCUCCCUGAGACUUUAAGUCUCCUGAAGGAACGUUGAAGACGACGACGUUGAUAGGCCGGGUGUGUAAGCGCAGCGAUGCGUUGAGCUAACCGGUACUAAUGAACCGUGAGGCUUAACCUUACAACGCCGAAG